RNAcentral lists this long non-coding RNA (1626 nucleotides) under Ananas comosus (pineapple). RNAcentral describes it as "long non-coding RNA (ACOM_LNC020383)". The record is from RNAcentral. Lineage: Eukaryota; Viridiplantae; Streptophyta; Magnoliopsida; Poales; Bromeliaceae.
UGUUGAAUCUUUUCUCGAUGACUAAGGGCCUGUUUGUUUUGGUGUAAGUGGAAUGAUGGAACUCAAGUUUCAUCACUUUCGUUAUUUAUUUUAGUGUAAGUGAAAAAUAUAAUGUAACUCAAGUUACGUUAGAGCUCCACUUCACCUACUCUCGACUUUUUCUUCUAAAAUGCUGAACUCGACUUUCAACACACUCAACUACGAGAAAGUCAGAGUUUCAAAAAAUCCACUCCCUAGCCAUGCACCUUCCGCCUUUGCUUUCAGUCUUUCCUUCCAGUACCAUAACACUCAGUUUCAGGCCACUAUACCGAAAGAAAGAAACUCCGGACACUAAUCCAAGAGGGAAAGCUAGCCUCACUAUACCGAUCAUGGUUUCUGCACCUAAACACAUCCCUUCCUUCUCAUUUGGCUUAGGGGAUGCCCAAAGCUAGCCUCACUCUCAUAUCUCUUUACCAAAGCAGCUUAAGCUAAAUCUCUCUCAUUUCACUUGUUGGAUAAACACGAAACUCGAUUAGCGUCAGGCAUUUUUUCUAAAAAAUUUAUUUAUUAAAUAGUAAAAUCUAAGCUCUACUUCUUUUAUAAUGAUUAGAAUUACCUUAUUUAUAAUAAAUUAAGAUUACCUUUAGUGCCCGUUUGGUUUGAGUUAUGUAAUAUUACAAAGUAUCUCGACAUAUCCAGAUAUCUUAAAUUUUGGCGUGAUAUUACUACUGAUGCUGCAUUAGAGCGUUUGGUUUAAUACAGUAAUGUAAUACUAGAUUACAGUAUUUAUAGCAUUAAUAUGUUUGGUUCAGUUUAUAAAAUUUAGUAAUCCUGACAUAAAAGUAUAGUUUUCUUCAAAAUUGCCCUUGUUGUGGUCAUUUGAAUAUUAUUUUUUGCGAAAAUGGCGAAUGGAGGGAAGGAGAUCGUGAUGAUUACGACGCAAUCGAAGAUGAUAGGUGUUCGUGCGAGAGAGAGAGAGAGAGAGAGAGAGAGAGAGACGUUGAGAGAAAGAGAGCGAGAGAAAGCGGCGUGCGAGAGAGAGGGCCGGGGGGAAGGCGAGAGAGAGAUGAAAAUAAUGUUGUUAAUUAGAUUUGGGAUUGUUGGAGGGUAAAUUGUCAUUUUACAUAAUAGGUAGUAUUAACGGAUUUCAGUAAUGCAAGAUACACGACCUCCCUCCCGUUAAUAUUUUCGAUAUAAUCCUGCUCGAUUUGUAAUGCUACAUUAACGAUUAGAUUACAUAGCGGAUUAACCAAACACAGUUAUUCUGGUAGGAUUGCCUGUAAUCCUGUCAGGAUAAUUCAAACCAAACGCACCCUUAAAUAAUAAUAAUAAAAAAAUUAAUUAUAUAAUAGGUUAAAUUUGCUAGUGGUAAAUUUACUACUAUAUUUAGGAGAUAAUGGGAUCCACUUAUUUACAUCAAAACAAAUAACGAAACUAAAAAAACUAAUUAAUUUUACCAGUACCAAGUUAUAUCAAAAGAAACAGAAAAAGUAAUUGAAUUUAACUUUCAGACUGUACGAGUUACGUGAAAACAAACAACAAAAAAAUAAUCACACUUCAGAAAAACUCAAGCACCACUACAUUUGACUUACGUUGGAUCUAUAGAUUCGUCAAUCCAAACGCCCCCAAGCGUUCAGUUUAAUUUUU